Molecule: ribosomal RNA, 442 nt
Filed under: uncultured bacterium
Lineage: Bacteria
Description: partial 16S ribosomal RNA
Rfam family: Bacterial small subunit ribosomal RNA
Source: RNAcentral
CCUACGGGAGGCAGCAGUGGGGAAUAUUGGGCAAUGGACGAAAGUCUGACCCAGCAAAGCCGCGUGAAGGAUGACGGCUUUCGGGUUGUAAAAUUCUUUUAAGGGGGAAGAGAAGAAGACGGUACCCCUUGAAUAAGCCACGGCUAACUACGUGCCAGCAGCCGCGGUCAUACGUAGGUGGCAAGCGUUGUCCGGAUUUACUGGGUGUAAAGGGCGUGCAGGCGGAAAGACAAGUCAGAUGUGAAAUCCACGGGCUCAACCCGUGAACUGCAUUUGAAACUGUUUCCCUUGAGUGUCGGAGAGGUAAGCGGAAUUCCUAGUGUAGCGGUGAAAUGCGUAGAUAUUAGGAAGAACACCAGUUGCGAAGGCAGAUUACUGGACGAUAACUGACGGUGAGGCGCGAAAGCGUGGGGAGCGAACAGGAUUAGAUACCCUGGUAGUC